UACGUAGGUGGCAAGCGUUAUCCGGAUUUACUGGGUGUAAAGGGCGUGUAGGCGGGAAAGCAAGUCAGAUGUGAAAACCAUGGGCUCAACCUGUGGCCUGCAUUUGAAACUGUUUUUCUUGAGUACUGGAGAGGCAGACGGAAUUCCUAGUGUAGCGGUGAAAUGCGUAGAUAUUAGGAGGAACACCAGUGGCGAAGGCGGUCUGCUGGACAGCAACUGACGCUGAGGCGCGAGAGCGUGGGGAGCAAACAGG
Molecule: ribosomal RNA, 253 nt
Filed under: uncultured bacterium
Lineage: Bacteria
Description: partial 16S ribosomal RNA
Rfam family: Bacterial small subunit ribosomal RNA
Source: RNAcentral